Molecule: non-coding RNA, 3249 nt
Organism: Chrysemys picta bellii (western painted turtle)
Lineage: Eukaryota; Metazoa; Chordata; Testudines; Emydidae
Source: RefSeq, a predicted model, not a curated record
GUGGCUGAAGAAGCCUAAAAAGCUACAGAAAAGCCAAGAAAUGCACCCUAAGUACUGCAUUAAAAUGAAACAUCCCAAGAGACAGUAUGUCUGGGCAAAAAGUAGGCCCAGAGAGUGGCACAUGGCUUGAAGCACUGCAACAUCCCUUCGGACUUAAGACCUGGAACUGCCCUUGAUGAGCCAGUCGUUGAGGUACAGGUAGAACUGGAUACCCUUAUGCCUGAGGUUCUUAUGAAAACUCAGACUCUGGAAUCUGUCAAACCUACAUUGAUUUAUAUAAACAACUGACAUUUUUGAAAACUACCUUUAAAGUGAUGGAGACAAGGUGGGUCAGACUAGACAUACAAUGUUGCCAAGAAACAUUACCUUAUCAACAUGAACUAAUGACUUCGGACAGCAGCAGCAGUAGUUAAUAAGAAUAAGAUGAUCACUGAAAAUGGAAGUAUUGCAACUCAACUAGAUAAGAUGCUUAAGAACACCACAAUAAUAAAAAUGUAUCUAGUUAUAUAAAAAUGCUCAAAAAGCCUUUCAGUGACUAUUUUCAAUAUAAAUUGUGACUAUAACAGACUAUUUUUACACUUCAUUUUCUAUUUAUGUUUUGCCAUUUGCUUGUAUUUACAAGACAGCAAAAAGUAAUUGCUGUUAACUUUGGAAACCCCAUUUCUUUUUAAUUAUUGUGCUCAAAGAUACAACAACUACAUUUAAGAAAAUAGUGCACCGCCUAUCUUAUUUACUUUGGAUUUUUUUCAUGUUAAUGCACAUCUUGUUGCCCAAUCAAGUUGUAAACUGAUUUGCCUGCUUGAUCAAGGUACAUAGUUAAAAAGCAUCUAGCAUAGACCACAUCAUAAAUUGUGGAUGUUUACCUCUUGCCUUUUGACUAUAUCAUCCAAUCUCUAUACAAGAUUUAAUUUGCUAACAAGAUUUCAUAUAUAAAAUAUCUUACUAAAAAUCAAAUUAAUUCAAUCCAAGAGGCCAUAUGGAAUAUGAUUACAUAGCAGAAGUGGAAGAAGACAAGGGCAAUGUGGAAAAGCACCAAGAUGUGUUGAUAUGCUUUUGCUAGCUAAGGCAGAGGGUUCCCUUAACAACUUGUAUGGUACUUCAUUCUUGUAAAUAUUGUUAGAUAUCUGAAACACCUUAUCACUCAGAACUAACUUUAAGUGGUCUACUCUUUUUUUGCACACAGACAAGCGUUCACCGUUCUGACUUUUCAAUCUUACAGAUUGUCAUUAGCGGAAUUAAGCUCUGCAUCUGUAAUAUACUGGGGGGAGAAGUGGCAUCAGUAGAGUUAUGCUUUCACAUUCCUACUGAUUUGGACAUUUUGUACAAAAUGCAACUACUUUAAAUGCCCCCUUCGCUAGCUUCCCCCCCACAAGCCUAAGAGUUCACUGUGCUCUUCAACGGUGCUAACUGCCCAAUGCAUGCUUUCAGACUGGGAUGGCCUGCUGCCUCUGAUAUUCCAGAGUGGGAAUCUACUCUACUCAUCGCAACUGUUCUAGGUAUGGAACUACUUCCACUAGCACUGUGAAGGGGGUCAACUAGAGGCAUCUUCACCUACAUUGAAAGAAAACUAGAGAUUAAUCAUACUGUGAAACCUGUAUUAAGAAGCUACCAAAGGGAUCUGACAAAAAUGGGCUCCUUAAUGGAGAUGGUCUUCUAAUAAAGAAGAAGCACAACUGUAUUUAGUAAAUUUGUGCAUACUUUGGACAGGUCUCUCAAAACCGCAGGAUGCCUAAAAAAAUGUAGUCUUAUCCUUCUCCACCUUGUCUCUCAAACAGAAAACUGGAGGGAGUCUGAGGAAGAGCAAGGCAAAUAACUUAGUUGCUUCAGCUAGAGUACCCUCCAAGUUAUUUGUGACAAAAAAAUUUUCUCACAAAGAAAGGAGAGAAUGUAAAUAAUAAACAGCUGUUUCUGGUAGAAAUGUAUGGUACAUUCUAGAUAAUGAUGCAGAAUUUAAGUGUUGAUGUACUUACUGACAACGUAAAACACUUUAGGGCCAUUAUUUUUUACACUAUAUUUUAGGCAAUGCUGAUCUGACCCUUAUGACAAAGCAACACCAUUUUAAGCGCCUGUUCCAAACAAAUUAACUCUAAGUUUGCUAUGAAAAAUUAUCCGAUCCAUCAUUAACUGAAUAAAAUUCUGCCACUCCACUCCCCCCCCACCCACCCCCAAAGGUAGCUUUCCCCUGCUUUCUGAUACAAAAUGUUUCUAUUUUAUUAACAAUUCUCCCAAACAACUGAAAUGUUUCUAUGUAACUACUGAGCAUGACAUGCCUUUGGAUCACUGCUACCAGGUGGAGUACGGAAGGGCAGCCAGGCCAAAUUUGAGUGAAUGGCAAUGCAAUCUAGUGUGCGGUUGUAAUGCCAUUAAAGGUUCCAACCCCUCAGGAGAGCUCAAAGCACUGAGCCUACAGGUUAAGGGUGUAUGGUUUCCAUGAGGGUAGGUCCAGAGCCCUUUCCCCAACCCCCCUCCUCCUAGAAUCCCUGUCCAGAGCACUAGCCAUUAUAGGUAUUUCCCUCCACAGUCUAUAGCCUUAAUGCUGCUACAUCCCAGAGGCUGAAGUGGAGCAGGGAGUGGCUGGAGUUACUAUUAAGAGCCCGUUAUUGUACAAGAAGCUACGUCCACCCUUCCCCCCGCAAUUCCAGGGGAUUACCAAUGUGGGCACCUCCGCAGCUCUCCAAGCCCAGAGGCCCAGUGCAUUGCCAGACCUAAGGUUGAGAAAGGGGAGGCAAUGUGCUGAACCCUGGUGUUGCCACCAAGUGAUGUAGGUAACUGGAGGAGUAGAGCCAGGAACCUGAAGUCUGUGCCCUUAAGAUGCCUGGCUAAGUAACCUACAGGUGCAAUCAGAUCAUUACUAAGUGUAUGCUACUACAGGUGUAAAUAACAGCACCCACAGAACUGGAGGCCAUUUUUAUAACUUUAGGCCUGAGUGUCUUGUGGAUGGUGUUAAGUACUCUAUCUUUGGAUUUAGCUCAGGGAAGUAACUGCAAACAGACAACGGAACCUAUUUUCUGGGGUUGCCACCUGGUAUUGUAAGUAGUUGGGGGCCAGAGACCUGAGGUUUAUACCCUUCCUCUCCUUCAGGCAUUUGGAACAUCCAAUUUUGCAGUUCUUCUAGUGCUUAAUCAUUAGAAAUAGCUGCCUUGUACAGUACAUAAAAUGGAUCAGUUUUUGUGGCAUGAAAAGAGAUGGUGAUUGUACUAGUGCUUUAUCUUCGAAUAAACAAAAAGUUUGGAAAUAUGAAGAAAGUUA